ACACCAGUUUUCAUGAAGCCUACUGUAUUGUGCAGAAAGUCCCAGAAAAUUUAGGGCCAAAAGGAGAGAAAGCAGCAAGAAACGAUUUGAAGCUAACAACAACGGGUGAGAAACUUCUUUCUUUGUCUCUGAUUCUUUGAUCUCUCAAAAGCCCUCUCACUUGUCACUGUUUCUCUUGUUUCGAAUAAGAAGAGAAAAUCUCACUGAAUUCGGCUUAUGAUUUUCUUGGCACAGAAAAUCUUCCUGCAACUUGUUGUGGAUUCGCUGAGAAAAGAACUAUAUUCCUGAAUGAUUUGAGAAAACACAGCUUUCAGAUUGGUUUUUUUGAAUGCUUUGAGAUUAUCGGAUGUCUAAAUUUUGAACAUUUUUUAGGGGUUUUUGAUCUGGGCAGUAUAGAAUUGAUGAUCCUGAGUUGGGUCUUUACUCGUAUGAGAAAGAUUUGAAGAAAUCCAUUUGAAAUUUUUUGAGGUAGCUCGAUUUGUUAUUUGCGGUUGUGCAAAAGUGCUUUCGAUCUUCAUGAACUUGUUGCUGUAACUGUGGAAACUGUGGAGUUGACUGGUGUAAUCAGCUUUGAAGCAUUAUAGAGAGGGAACGAGAAGUCUGAAUAAGGAUAGUAAAAGAAUUGGGAUAGAUGGGAAGGCCAUUGUUUUAUGAGAUCUUGGAAAAACCAGCCACAAGUUGUAUCAUAGGAAUAUGCUGUGCAAUUUGGUUCUAUAUACAGAAAAAACACAUUGGGUAUUCACACGUGGGGUUGAGUUAUGAAACCGCCAUUGAAGGGCACCAUUGGAGGAUCAUAACUUCAGCCUUUUCUCAUAUAAGCAUACUUCAUCUUGUAUUCAACAUGAGUGCACUUUGGAGUCUUGGGAUAGUAGAGAAAUUGGGGCAUUUGGGACUUGGGGUGGAAUAUUAUCUCCAGUACUCACUUGUCAUGGUUGUACUCUCUGGGUUGCUAGUUUUGGGUAUGUACCAUAUCCUGAUCCAGAGAUUCAAGCUUGAGUAUUUUAGAAGAGUGACUGCUGUUGGAUAUUCUUGUGUUGUUUUUGGGUGGAUGACCAUUCUUUCUGUAAAGCAACCUUCUUCAAAGUUGGAUCUUUUUGGGUUUCUUUCGCUUCCCAUAAGUUUUGCUCCAUUCGAGUCGCUGAUUUUUACUUCGAUUAUUGUUCCACAAGCAAGUUUUCUAGGGCAUUUAUCAGGAAUCAUUGUUGGAUAUGCUAUUGCAUGGGGUUUGAUUCAUGGGAUGAACAAUUUUUGGGCAGUUUCGAUGUUAGGAUGGAUUGCAGUUGUGUUUAUAUUCAGCUUGAAGCGCUCUGGUGCUUAUGAUUUUAAUUUCCUUGAGAUUGAAUCUGUUACAGAUCCUUCCUUGCCAUCCGUGCGGUUUCUUGGGUCAGGAAAUGGUAGAACAUUGCAAAUGAGUGCAUUACCAGUAGCAGGUACUGAGCUUGUGUAGUAUCUUGUCAUGAUCUACCUGCAUGGGCUUUAGUUCUUAUAUGCCUUCUGCUACGAAGUUACAAGUUUUGAAAUGAUUCGUUUUUAACUCCUCACAGUGGCAGAUGCAUGCUGUUGUGCUAAAUUUGGUCAUUCAGUGGCAUCCUGUUGGAGGCCUUGCUCCAAAUGUUGAUCUUCGCGAUUAAUUAUGACUAUGAAACUGGUCAAGACAAUCAUGGGAUAACUAGUAAGAGGCUGUUGGUCUUGUGGUUUAUACCACUUCUUUAAUAUUAGAGUUGCAACUUUUGCAUGCAUGACAAAAUAUUCCUAUGUUCAUUGACUCAAAAAUUCAAGUACGGCAAGCUACUAUCUUCUUACAAGUUUCUGGAAGUUUUUGGCCUACUAUUUUGUUUUACCUUUUCUUGUUACUUCAUUUUCGAGGGAGAUUUGGCACAACCUAAAGUCUGCAUGCUCUAAAAUUUUCCAAGUGAUUCAACAAUUGAAGGCUUUCUUCUUCUUUAUGUGUUUAUUAUUUUGUUUUUGGAAUUGGAUCAUCAUGAUUCUCACCAUAUUCUAACUGAUGUCAAGUAAUGUAUAUCUCAGGUUGCCAUUGUCUGGAAUGGCAGAAAUUUUUUUGUAAUGUCCACGUUAUGAUAUGUUUUUUAAAAGAAUGAUUACUGUAAAAUAGAAAAUUCUGCUUUCAAGUAA
Ziziphus jujuba (common jujube) is the source of this 2133-nucleotide RNA transcript. It is a transcript of the gene named RHOMBOID-like protein 13, with no coding region annotated. The record is from RefSeq and is a predicted model, not a curated record. NCBI's taxonomy places the organism in Eukaryota, Viridiplantae, Streptophyta, Magnoliopsida, Rosales, Rhamnaceae. The transcript has 2 exons.